This 252-nucleotide ribosomal RNA is filed under the name uncultured prokaryote. RNAcentral's name for it is "partial 16S rRNA". It matches the Rfam family "Bacterial small subunit ribosomal RNA", at positions 525 to 775 of the family's 1533-position model. The record is from RNAcentral.
ACGAAGGGAGCGAGCGUUAUUCGGUUUCACUGGGCUUAAAGGGCGCGUAGGCGGUUGGAUGUGUCGGUUGUGAAAUCCCCGGGCUCAACUCGGGAAUUGCUUCCGAAACUAUCUGACUUGAGGCAUUUUUUGGGUGACUGGAACUCUUGGUGGAGCGGUGACAUGCGUAGAGAUCAAGAGGAACGCCGGUGGUGAAGACGGGUCACUGGAAAUGUCCUGACGCUGAGGCGCGAAAGCUAGGGGAGCGAACGG